GAUGAACGCUGGCGGCGUGCCUAAUACAUGCAAGUCGAGCGAACAGACGAGGAGCUUGCUCCUCUGACGUUAGCGGCGGACGGGUGAGUAACACGUGGAUAACCUACCUAUAAGACUGGGAUAACUUCGGGAAACCGGAGCUAAUACCGGAUAAUAUAUUGAACCGCAUGGUUCAAUAGUGAAAUACGGUUUUUCUGUCACUUAUAGAUGGAUCCGCGCCGCAUUAGCUAGUUGGUAAGCUAACGGCUUACCAAGGCAACGAUGCGUAGCCGACCUGAGAGGGUGAUAGGCCACACUGGAACUGAGACACGGUCCAGACUCCUACGGGAGGCAGCAGUAGGGAAUCUUCCGCAAUGGGCGAAAGCCUGACGGAGCAACGCCGCGUGAGUGAUGAAGGUCUUCGGAUCGUAAAACUCUGUUAUUAGGGAAGAACAAAUGUGUAAGUAACUAUGCACGUCUUGACGGUACCUAAUCAGAAAGCCACGGCUAACUACGUG
This 497-nucleotide ribosomal RNA is filed under the name uncultured bacterium. RNAcentral's name for it is "partial 16S ribosomal RNA". It matches the Rfam family "Bacterial small subunit ribosomal RNA", at positions 28 to 507 of the family's 1533-position model. The record is from RNAcentral.